Molecule: small nuclear RNA, 103 nt
Organism: Solanum stenotomum
Lineage: Eukaryota; Viridiplantae; Streptophyta; Magnoliopsida; Solanales; Solanaceae
Source: RefSeq, a predicted model, not a curated record
GUCCCUUCCGGGACAUCUGAUAAAAUAGGAUCAAUACAAAGAAGAUUAGCAUGGCCCCUACACAAGGAUGGCAUGCACAAAUCGAGAAAUGGUCCAACUUUUG